CCUUUCAUUUGGCUUUUAAACAAAGGAAGAAAAGCUUGAAACAUGCUCUGAACAAACGGCUCUAUGUAAUUAGCACGAAGGAAGAAAGAUCAGUAAACACAAAGUCAUCACAGCUCUACUGAGACCCACCAGAGAUAGAUCUCCCAUUUUCAACUCUGCUGACAUUGCACCCUGCUUGGCUACAGCAACAAUCCCAAUUAAAGCAAUAGGGACAAUUUGGAGGACAACUUCAAGCACAUUGAGGCCUUUAUAUGCAACACUGCAACUGCGGCAGUUCAGCACAUGGGACCUGUACCUGAAAAACGUCGUGAAAAAUAGUUUCGAUGAGCUAUUUCUCAUAAUUGAGACAGCUAGUUCUAAGGACCACCACACAAAAAAGGGGAAUAUGAUUGUAUUGAUAAGAGUAGGAACUUUCUAAAUCUUCUAAGAGCAUCUCCAAUAAUGUUCUUUA
This is a long non-coding RNA of Alnus glutinosa, 451 nucleotides long. RefSeq lists it as uncharacterized. The transcript has 2 exons. Lineage: Eukaryota; Viridiplantae; Streptophyta; Magnoliopsida; Fagales; Betulaceae. The record is from RefSeq and is a predicted model, not a curated record.